Molecule: non-coding RNA, 33 nt
Submitted as: unclassified sequences
Source: Rfam
CUCUGAAUCAACAUAUGAUACAGGGCAAAGGAG